UACGGAGGAUGCGAGCGUUAUCCGGAUUUAUUGGGUUUAAAGGGUGCGUAGGCGGAAUAUCAAGUCAGCGGUAAAAAUUCGGGGCUCAACCCCGUACUGCCGUUGAAACUGCAUCCCUUGAGUGCGCGAGAAGUAUGCGGAAUGCGUGGUGUAGCGGUGAAAUGCAUAGAUAUCACGCAGAACUCCGAUUGCGAAGGCAGCAUACCGGCGCGCAACUGACGCUCAUGCACGAAAGCGUGGGUAUCGAACAGG
This 252-nucleotide ribosomal RNA is filed under the name uncultured Bacteroidales bacterium. Its description in RNAcentral is "partial 16S ribosomal RNA". It matches the Rfam family "Bacterial small subunit ribosomal RNA", at positions 524 to 776 of the family's 1533-position model. Lineage: Bacteria; Pseudomonadati; Bacteroidota; Bacteroidia; Bacteroidales. The record is from RNAcentral.